CCUACGUGUGACUGCAGUGAGGAAUAUUGGUCAAUGGUCGGGAGACUGAACCAGCCAAGCCGCGUGAGGGAUGAAGGUACAGAGUAUCGUAAACCUCUUUUGUCAGGGAACAAAGGCGGGGACGCGUCCCCGGAUGAGUGUACCUGAAGAAAAAGCAUCGGCUAACCCCGUGCCAGCAGCCGCGGUAAUACGGAGGAUGCGAGCGGUAUCCGGAUUUAUUGGGUUUAAGGGGUGCGAAGGCGGUCUGUUAUGUCAGCGUUAAAAGGCCGGGGCUCAACCCCGUCCCGCCAUUGAAACUGGCAGUCGCGAGUUGGAGAGAGGUAUGCGGAAUGCGCGGUGUAGCGGUGAAAUGCAUAGAUAUCGCGCAGAACUCCGAUUGCGAAGGCAGCAUGCCGGCUCCAAACUGACGCUGAGGCACGAAAGCGUGGGUAUCGAACAGGAUUAGAUACCCUUGUAGUC
Molecule: ribosomal RNA, 459 nt
Filed under: uncultured bacterium
Lineage: Bacteria
Description: partial 16S ribosomal RNA
Rfam family: Bacterial small subunit ribosomal RNA
Source: RNAcentral